CGGAGGGGGCUAGCGUUAUUCGGAAUUAUUGGGCGUAAAGGGCGCGUAGGCGGCCCGGUAAGUCAAAGGUGAAAUCCCUCGGCUCAACUGAGGAACUGCCUUUGAAACUGUCGGGCUUGAGGCCGGGAGGGGGUAGCGGAAUUCCCAGUGUAGCGGUGAAAUGCGUAGAUAUUGGGAGGAACACCGGUGGCGAAGGCGGCUACCUGGACCGGUUCUGACGCUGAUGCGCGAAAGCGUGGGUAGCAAACAGGAUUAGAUACCCUGGUAGUCCACGCUGUAAACGAUGGGUGCUCGGUGUCGCGGGUAUCGACCCCUGCGGUGCCUUAGCUAACGCGUUAAGCACCCCGCCUGGGGAGUACGGUCGCAAGGCUG
RNAcentral lists this ribosomal RNA (372 nucleotides) under uncultured organism. Its description in RNAcentral is "bacterial SSU rRNA". It matches the Rfam family "Bacterial small subunit ribosomal RNA", at positions 526 to 896 of the family's 1533-position model. The record is from RNAcentral.